AAGUACGGUUCAGUAUACUAAAGCCCACGCCAUGACAAAACACACCUGGCAGUUAACUAAUGCACAGUAUGACAAAUAAAGGGUAUAAUUAAGCUUUCCUGACCAGUGCAGCCAAUGGCGAAUAUGCACUUUGUGCUGCUGUGAUUCUUGAGUCACAAGUCAUUGACCAAACAAAGCUGACCAAAUGUUAUAACACAACCUACCUCACUUCAAAUGGUUAUCUUAUUCCUGUUACACCAUGGUAAUGUACCAUACAUAACAAGAUUUUUUUUUUCGUCUCAAAAUAUUUAAUACUACCUCACAAAAGUUUCAAAUAUUAUUUCACUUUUUUAGUUUUAACAGUACAUCAAAUGUAUCAUGUUUAAUACCAAUACCAAUUACUUUUAAAUAACAUUUAUGGGCAAGUGGCUCAUCCCACAAGCUGAGGUGAGCUGCCUCAGCUGGUGGGGCUGAUACUAAUUUUGUUAGGAUAAUUUACUAAAUUAGAGAUGAUAGGUUACUAAUUUGGCAGUGCUAGCUUAAUCUUAAUGAUGAGAGGUUACUAAUUCAGUGCUGAGAGGUUAUUAUAUGUUAGGAGAGCCUGUUAGUUUAGAGUUAAUAUUUUCCACCUUCAUGAUGUACCUAACUAAGUGACAUAUAUUCUGCCCCAUAACCAUAGCAAGACAACAGAAAUGGCAUUUUUGGAGGAGUAAAAAUAAUCUAAUUAUUGACCAACUGAAGUGAAUUUAACUUUGCUACACAAGGCUAACAUCUGAAAACAAAAUAUGAUAGCCAUUGUGAGGAUAAGUUCCGCCACUGUGUCUCGUCUAAGAAUGUUAAUGAGAGAGGUUAAUGUUUUGCCGAUGAUAGGUUACGUCACUGUGUCUUAUCUUAGAAUGUUACUGAGAGAGGUUAAUAUUUUGCUGAUGAUAGGUUACGUCACUGUGCCUUGUCUUAGAAUGUUACUGAGAGAGGUUAAUAUUUUGCUGGUGAUAGGUUACGCCACUGUGUCUUGUCUUAGAAUGUUACUGAGAGAGGUUAAUAUUUUGCCGAUGAUAGGUUACGCCACUGUCUCGUCUUAGAAUGUUACUGAGAGAGGUUAAUAUUUUGCCUGCAAUAGGUUACACAACUGUGCCUCGUCUUAGAAUGUUACUGAGAUAGGUUAAUAUUUUGCUGGUGAUAGGUUGCGCCAGUGUCUCAUCUUUGAAUGUCAUUGAGAGAGGUUAAUAUUUUGCUGAUAGGUUACACCACUCUGUCGUCUUAGAAUGUUAAUGAGAUAGGUUAAUAUUUUCCCGGCAAUAGGUUACACCAUUGUAUCUUGUCCUAGUAUGUUAAUAAGAUAGGUUAGUAUUUUGGCAGUGAUAGGUUCCACCACUGUGUCUUGUCUUAGAUAGCUAUUGCGAGAGGUUAGUAUUUUGCCGGUGAUAGGUUCCACCACUGUCUUGUCUUAGAAAGUUAUUGAGAGAGGUUAGUAUUUUGCCGGUGAUAGGUUCCACCAUUGUCUCGUCUUAGAAAGUUAUUGAGAGAGGUUAGUAUUUUGCCGGUGAUAGGUUCCACCACUGUCUCGUCUUAGAAAGUUAUUGAGAGAGGUUAGUAUUUUGCCGGUGAUAGGUUCCACCACUGUCUCGUCUUAGAAAGUUAUUGAGAGAGGUUAGUAUUUUGCCGGUGAUAGGUUCCACCACUGUCUCGUCUUAGAAAGUUAUUGAGAGAGGUUAGUAUUUUGCCGGUGAUAGGUUCCGCCACUGUGUCUCGUCUUAGAAUGUUACUGCGAAAGAUGAAUGCUUUUGGGGUAAUAGGUUACUAUAUAUUAGAUUAAGGCAGGGGUCAAUUAGUUUAUAAAUAGUUCUAAAGUAAGGGUCAAGUACUAAGCAACUGACCACACUCUAUUACUUAUCAUUUUGUCUUUUGCAUAUACUUUUAUAGCUGGUCAUCAGUGAACAUAGUAAUAAGUAAUGAGGUAUAAGGAUGCACCCGCUAAGCUAUCAUUAUGCCCUUUCACAGAUUCUGGUUAGGGUAUGAAGAAAAGUGUGAAUUAUGAAGAAAAUGUGUGAAGUAUAAAGAAAAAUGAGGGCAUCUGAAGACAUAAAUACGUAGAAAACCUUUAUUCUGGCUUGUAUUAAUGGCAUAUAGAGAUCUGGGAGCACAAUUAAUGAGCUAUAUGAGCACACCAAAGCCUCGACUCCCUGGGCCACACCUAUUUAUCAUAACGUCAUUUUAUCCCUUCCAGAUCUCUACGGUAAGUUUGCAUUAUUCAUAUCAGGACAUCUGCGAACAGGCUGACUCUUAAGCGUUAUGAAAGUUUCACAAUAAUGCAUCAGUCAAGUGAAUGGGGAGGGUAAAAAAUUAACAUGUA
Eriocheir sinensis (Chinese mitten crab) is the source of this 2332-nucleotide long non-coding RNA. RefSeq lists it as uncharacterized. The transcript is spliced from 3 exons. NCBI's taxonomy places the organism in Eukaryota, Metazoa, Arthropoda, Malacostraca, Decapoda, Varunidae. The record is from RefSeq and is a predicted model, not a curated record.